This 253-nucleotide ribosomal RNA is filed under the name uncultured bacterium. RNAcentral's name for it is "partial 16S ribosomal RNA". It matches the Rfam family "Bacterial small subunit ribosomal RNA", at positions 524 to 776 of the family's 1533-position model. The record is from RNAcentral.
UACAGAGGGUGCGAGCGUUGUUCGGAAUUAUUGGGCGUAAAGCGCAUGUAGGCGGCUUGUUAAGUCACGUGUGAAAGCCCCCGGCUCAACUGGGGAGGGUCAUUCGAUACUGUUCGACUCGAAGGCAGGAGAGGGAAGUGGAAUUCCGGGUGUAGUGGUGAAAUGCGUAGAUAUCCGGAGGAACACCAGUGGCGAAGGCGACUUUCUGGACGGUAACUGACGCUGAGACGCGAAAGCGUGGGGAGCAAACAGG